AUUGAACGCUGGCGGCAUGCCUUACACAUGCAAGUCGAACGGUAACGGGCCUUCGGGUGCCGACGAGUGGCGAACGGGGGAGUAAUACAUCGGAACGUGCCCGAUCUUGGGGGAUAACGAGGCGAAAGCUUUGCUAAUACCGCAUACGAUCUACGGAUGAAAGCAGGGGACCGCAAGGCCUUGCGCGGACGGGGCGGCCGAUGGCGGAUUAGGUAGUUGGGGGGAUAAAAGCUUACCAAGCCGACGAUCUGUAGCUGGUCUGAGAGGAUGAUCAGCCACACUGGGACUGAGACACGGCCCAGACUCCUACGGGAGGCAGCAGUGGGGAAUUUUGGACAAUGGGCGCAAGCCUGAUCCAGCCAUGCCGCGUGCAGGAUGAAGGCCUUCGGGUUGUAAACUGCUUUUGUACGGAACGAAAAGCCUUCUUUUAAUACAGGAGGGUCAUGACGGUACCGUAAGAAUAAGCACCGGCUAACUACGUG
Molecule: ribosomal RNA, 482 nt
Filed under: uncultured bacterium
Lineage: Bacteria
Description: partial 16S ribosomal RNA
Rfam family: Bacterial small subunit ribosomal RNA
Source: RNAcentral